ACCAGACUCCUACGGGAGGCAGCAGUGGGGAAUAUUGCACAAUGGGGGGAACCCUGAUGCAGCGACGCCGCGUGGGUGAAGAAGCGCCUCGGCGCGUAAAGCCCUGUCAGCAGGGAAGAAAAUGACGGUACCUGAAGAAGAAGCCCCGGCUAACUACGUGCCAGCAGCCGCGGUAAUACGUAGGGGGCAAGCGUUAUCCGGAUUUACUGGGUGUAAAGGGGGCGCAGACGGCGAUGCAAGCCAGGAGUGAAAGCCCGGGGCCCAACCCCGGGACUGCUCUUGGAACUGCGUGGCUGGAGUGCAGGAGGGGCAGGCGGAAUUCCUGGUGUAGCGGUGAAAUGCGUAGAUAUCAGGAGGAACACCGGUGGCGAAGGCGGCCUGCUGGGCUUUUACUGACGCUGAGGCACGAAGGCCAGGGGAGCGAAAGGGAUUAGAUACCCCCGUAA
Molecule: ribosomal RNA, 446 nt
Filed under: uncultured bacterium
Lineage: Bacteria
Description: bacterial SSU rRNA
Rfam family: Bacterial small subunit ribosomal RNA
Source: RNAcentral